RNAcentral lists this ribosomal RNA (339 nucleotides) under uncultured Anoxybacillus sp. RNAcentral describes it as "bacterial SSU rRNA". It matches the Rfam family "Bacterial small subunit ribosomal RNA", at positions 1042 to 1382 of the family's 1533-position model. Lineage: Bacteria; Bacillati; Bacillota; Bacilli; Caryophanales; Anoxybacillaceae. The record is from RNAcentral.
UGCAUGGUUGUCAUCAGCUCGUGUCGUGAGAUGUUGGGUUAAGUCCCGCAACGAGCGCAACCCUCGACCUUAGUUGCCAGCAUUCAGUUGGGCACUCUAAGGUGACUGCCGGCUAAAAGUCGGAGGAAGGUGGGGAUGACGUCAAAUCAUCAUGCCCCUUAUGACCUGGGCUACACACGUGCUACAAUGGGCGGUACAAAGGGUCGCGAACCCGCGAGGGGGAGCCAAUCCCAAAAAGCCGCUCUCAGUUCGGAUUGCAGGCUGCAACUCGCCUGCAUGAAGCCGGAAUCGCUAGUAAUCGCGGAUCAGCAUGCCGCGGUGAAUACGUUCCCGGGCCUU